AACGGUAACAGGUYUCGGACGCUGACGAGUGGCGAACGGGUGAGUAAUACAUCGGAACGUGCCCAGUCGUGGGGGAUAACUACUCGAAAGAGUAGCUAAUACCGCAUACGAUCUGAGGAUGAAAGCGGGGGMCCUUCGGGCCUCGCGCGAUUGGAGCGGCCGAUGGCAGAUUAGGUAGUUGGUGGGAUAAAAGCUUACCAAGCCGACGAUCUGUAGCUGGUCUGAGAGGACGACCAGCCACACUGGGACUGAGACACGGCCCAGACUCCUACGGGAGGCAGCAGUGGGGAAUUUUGGACAAUGGGCGAAAGCCUGAUCCAGCAAUGCCGCGUGCAGGAUGAAGGCCUUCGGGUUGUAAACUGCUUUUGUACGGAACGAAAAAGCUCCUUCUAAUACAGGGGGCCCAUGACGGUACCGUAAGAAUAAGCACCGGCUAACUACGUGCCAGCAGCCGCGGUAAUA
Molecule: ribosomal RNA, 462 nt
Filed under: Delftia tsuruhatensis
Lineage: Bacteria; Pseudomonadati; Pseudomonadota; Betaproteobacteria; Burkholderiales; Comamonadaceae
Description: bacterial SSU rRNA
Source: RNAcentral